RNAcentral lists this ribosomal RNA (776 nucleotides) under uncultured Neocallimastigales. RNAcentral describes it as "partial large subunit ribosomal RNA". It matches the Rfam family "Eukaryotic large subunit ribosomal RNA", at positions 24 to 647 of the family's 3401-position model. Lineage: Eukaryota; Fungi; Neocallimastigomycota; Neocallimastigomycetes; Neocallimastigales. The record is from RNAcentral.
GUAGUCUCGCACAGAUGCAUAUCAAUAAGCGGAGGAAAAGAAACUAACAAGGAUUCCCCUAGUAACGGCGAGUGAAGCGGGAAGAGCUCAAAUUUGAAAUCUUAAAGGGUUUCCCUUUACGAAUUGUAGUUUAAAGAAGUGUUUUCUGUUGAGGUUUUGGUAAAAGUUCUUUGGAAUAGGACAUCAUAGAGGGUGAGAAUCCCGUAUUUGACCUUUACUUUCAACUUUGUGAUACACUUUCAAAGAGUCGGAUUGUUUGGGAAUGCAGUCCAAAAUGGGUGGUAAAUUUCAUCUAAAGCUAAAUAUUGGCGAGAGACCGAUAGCGAACAAGUACCGUGAGGGAAAGAUGAAAAGAACUUUGAAAAGAGAGUUAAACAGUACGUGAAAUUGUCAAAAGGGAAGCGUUUGACACCAGUGUUGUUUUUCCUGAAAAUCAAUUAAAGAACUGUUUAUGCUAAGUUGUUUAGACUUUAUCAGCUAUCUGUUUAGUUUUGAGCUUUUCUUUAAUGCACCUUUCAGUUAACAAGUCAACAUCAAUUUCUUUUGCUGUAAAAAAGCUUGAGGAAGGUGGCUUGAGAUUCGUCCUUAAGUGUUUAUAGCCUCUUGCCUAUGCAGUCGGAGAGAUUGAGGUCUGCAGCGUAGAUCCUUCGGGGCUAAAUGCAUUUGUGCUAAGUUAUAGCAUUUUAUAGACAACUUGUUGACUAUGAUUUGUCUUGUAGCUUACUCGCUUAUGUUAUUUUACCUACGCUUAGGAUGUUGACGCAUGAGAUAUACGC